UGUUUCGGCUAGGGGGUCAUCCCGACUUACCAACCCGAUGCAAACUACGAAUACCGAAGAAUGUUAUCACGGGAGACACACGGCGGGUGCUAACGUCCGUCGUGAAGAGGGAAACAACCCAGACCGCCAGCUAAGGUCCCAAAGUCACAGUUAAGUGGGAAACGAUGUGGGAAGGCACAGACAGCCAGGAUGUUGGCUUAGAAGCAGCCAUCAUUUAAAGAAAGCGUAAUAGCUCACUGGUCGAGUCGGCCUGCGCGGAAGAUGUAACGGGGCUAAACUGUGCACCGAAGCUGCGGCAGCGACACUAUGUGUUGUUGGGUAGGGGAGCGUUCUGUAAGCCUGCGAAGGUGGCCUGUGAGGGUUGCUGGAGGUAUCAGAAGUGCGAAUGCUGACAUAAGUAACGAUAAUGCGGGUGAAAAGCCCGCACGCCGGAAGACCAAGGGUUCCUGUCCAACGUUAAUCGGGGCAGGGUGAGUCGACCCCUAAGGCGAGGCCGAAAGGCGUAGUCGAUGGGAAACAGGUUAAUAUUCCUGUACU
RNAcentral lists this ribosomal RNA (537 nucleotides) under Klebsiella aerogenes. Its description in RNAcentral is "partial 23S ribosomal RNA". It matches the Rfam family "Bacterial large subunit ribosomal RNA", at positions 911 to 1445 of the family's 2925-position model. The record is from RNAcentral. Lineage: Bacteria; Pseudomonadati; Pseudomonadota; Gammaproteobacteria; Enterobacterales; Enterobacteriaceae.